RNAcentral lists this transfer RNA (64 nucleotides) under human gut metagenome. It matches the Rfam family "tRNA", at positions 7 to 64 of the family's 71-position model. Rfam says of the family: Transfer RNA (tRNA) molecules are approximately 80 nucleotides in length. The record is from RNAcentral.
UGCGUAGCUCAGUUGGCUAGAGCAACUGACUCUUAAUCAGUGGGUCCAGGGUUCAAAUCCCUGC